This is a long non-coding RNA of Astyanax mexicanus (Mexican tetra), 551 nucleotides long. RefSeq lists it as uncharacterized. The transcript has 3 exons. NCBI's taxonomy places the organism in Eukaryota, Metazoa, Chordata, Actinopteri, Characiformes, Acestrorhamphidae. The record is from RefSeq and is a predicted model, not a curated record.
GCUCUCUCUCUCUCUCUCUCUGUCAUGUCCUGUGUUCUCACGUGUAUGACUACACACACACUCCUUCUACCACCACCAGCCUGAACUUAGCUUCUUCUGUGGAUUUCUCCGUUCCACCUUAAACGCUUCCUCAGGCGCCUGAAUGUAACUGGUGCACCAUUUAAGGUGGACCGGACAAAUUGUCAGAAGUAGCCUCGGAACUUCAGUCUCGUCCCCAACAGUGCCGCUCCGCUCACCGCUCAGCAACACAAACCCGGAGACAGAGAGAGAGAGAGAGAGAGAGAGAGGCGGAGAUUCAGCACAGCGCCCCCAGCGCAGCCCACCGAUCAGGUGCUUUAGGAAUUCUAACGUAACACAGAAAUGAACCCAAAAUCAAGUUUGGCAGUGCUGGAACAUCUACCUACAGGGAGCUGACAGAGGAAGAUCAGGUCUGCUGUUCUGGAAAGAGCAGAACACCAACUAAUGCAAUUUGGCAUUUACAUGAAUUUGCUCUUGUAUGUUGUAGUUACAAAAUAAAUAUGUUACACUGGACAACAAUCACUUUUUCUUUA